AUUGAACGCUGGCGGCAUGCCUUACACAUGCAAGUCGAACGGCAGCACGGGUGCUUGCACCUGGUGGCGAGUGGCGAACGGGUGAGUAAUACAUCGGAACAUGUCCUGUAGUGGGGGGUAGCCCGGCGAAAGCCGGAUUAAUACCGCAUACGAUCUACGGAUGAAAGCGGGGGACCUUCGGGCCUCGCGCUAUAGGGUUGGCCGAUGGCUGAUUAGCUAGUUGGUGGGGUAAAGGCCUACCAAGGCGACGAUCAGUAGCUGGUCUGAGAGGACGACCAGCCACACUGGGACUGAGACACGGCCCAGACUCCUACGGGAGGCAGCAGUGGGGAAUUUUGGACAAUGGGCGAAAGCCUGAUCCAGCAAUGCCGCGUGUGUGAAGAAGGCCUUCGGGUUGUAAAGCACUUUUGUCCGGAAAGAAAUCCUUGGCCCUAAUACGGUCGGGGGAUGACGGUACCGGAAGAAUAAACACCGGCUAACUACGU
This 485-nucleotide ribosomal RNA is filed under the name uncultured bacterium. RNAcentral describes it as "partial 16S ribosomal RNA". It matches the Rfam family "Bacterial small subunit ribosomal RNA", at positions 30 to 506 of the family's 1533-position model. The record is from RNAcentral.